Non-coding RNA from Enterococcus sp., 106 nucleotides. The record is from Rfam. Lineage: Bacteria; Bacillati; Bacillota; Bacilli; Lactobacillales; Enterococcaceae.
UUUUCAUUGGUUUUUAUCAGGUUCCUGUUCUGAUAAAAGUUAGUGAAAAGAUCUUCACUAACGUAGCGACUCGCAGUGAUUUAACACCGAGGCGGUACGUUUUUUU